This 423-nucleotide ribosomal RNA is filed under the name uncultured bacterium. RNAcentral describes it as "bacterial SSU rRNA". It matches the Rfam family "Bacterial small subunit ribosomal RNA", at positions 355 to 776 of the family's 1533-position model. The record is from RNAcentral.
UGAGGAAUAUUGGUCAAUGGGCGCAGGCCUGAACCAGCCAAGUCGCGUGAGGGAAGACGGUCCUAUGGAUUGUAAACCUCUUUUGUCGGGGAGCAAAGUGAGCCACGUGUGGCUUUUGGAGAGUACCCGAAGAAAAAGCAUCGGCUAACUCCGUGCCAGCAGCCGCGGUAAUACGGAGGAUGCGAGCGUUAUCCGGAUUUAUUGGGUUUAAAGGGUGCGUAGGCGGGUGUUCAAGUCAGCGGUAAAAUCGUGGAGCUCAACUCCAUCCAGCCGUUGAAACUGAAUGUCUUGAGUGGGCGAGAAGUAUGCGGAAUGCGUGGUGUAGCGGUGAAAUGCAUAGAUAUCACGCAGAACUCCGAUUGCGAAGGCAGCAUACCGGCGCCCGACUGACGCUGAAGCACGAAAGCGUGGGUAUCGAACAGG